GAUGAACGCUGACAGAAUGCUUAACACAUGCAAGUCAACUGAACUUCGGUUUGGGUGGCGGACGGGUGAGUAACGCGUAAAGAACUUGCCUCACAGAUAGGGACAACAUUUGGAAACGAAUGCUAAUACCUGAUAUUAUGAUUUUAGGGCAUCCUAGAAUUAUGAAAGCUAUAUGCGCUGUGAGAGAGCUCUGCGUCCCAUUAGCUAGUUGGAGAGGUAACGGCUCACCAAGGCGAUGAUGGGUAGCCGGCCUGAGAGGGUGAUCGGCCACAAGGGGACUGAGACACGGCCCUUACUCCUACGGGAGGCAGCAGUGGGGAAUAUUGGACAAUGGACCGAGAGUCUGGUCCAGCAAUUCUGUGUGCACGAUGAAGUUUUUCGGAAUGUAAAGUGCUUUCAGUUGGGAAGAAAUAAAUGACGGUACCAACAGAAGAAGUGACGGCUAAAUACGUGCCAGCAGCCGCGGUAAUACGUAUGUCACGAGCGUUAUCCGGAUUUAUUGGGCGUAAAGCGCGUCUAGGUGGUUAUAUAAGUCUGAUGUGAAAAUGCAGGGCUCAACUCUGUAUUGCGUUGGAAACUGUGUAACUAGAGUACUGGAGAGGUAAGCGGAACUACAAGUGUAAAGGUGAAAUUCGUAGAUAUUUGUAGGAAUGCCGAUGGGGAAGCCAGCUUACUGGACAGAUACUGACGCUGAAGCGCGAAAGCGUGGGUAGCAAACAGG
RNAcentral lists this ribosomal RNA (721 nucleotides) under uncultured Fusobacterium sp. Its description in RNAcentral is "bacterial SSU rRNA". It matches the Rfam family "Bacterial small subunit ribosomal RNA", at positions 28 to 776 of the family's 1533-position model. The record is from RNAcentral. Lineage: Bacteria; Fusobacteriati; Fusobacteriota; Fusobacteriia; Fusobacteriales; Fusobacteriaceae.